UUCAUGCGCAACUCUUCAUGA
This 21-nucleotide non-coding RNA is filed under the name Caenorhabditis elegans. Lineage: Eukaryota; Metazoa; Nematoda; Chromadorea; Rhabditida; Rhabditidae. The record is from RNAcentral.